RNAcentral lists this long non-coding RNA (682 nucleotides) under Lactuca sativa (garden lettuce). RNAcentral describes it as "long non-coding RNA (LSAT_LNC001700)". The record is from RNAcentral. Lineage: Eukaryota; Viridiplantae; Streptophyta; Magnoliopsida; Asterales; Asteraceae.
CUGAGAGAGGCUCGCUUGAGCAAUUCGCGAAUACUUAUGUAGGUCGUUCCUCUCUACUGAUGUUGAUGAUGAAACAUCUCCACCAUCUGAUAAGAAAGCACCAUGCUCUGACCUUCUCAUACUUUGAUUUGCUUAGGACAAAAGAGAUGUGUGGCUGCAAUCUAUUAAUUUCCCGUUGCUCAACGUUUUUUUUAGUAUAUUCUUUAGUCUUAUUUAAGUAUUUCCUACGAAUACUUAUGUAGGUCGUUCCUCUCUACUGAUGUUGAUGAUGAAACAUCUCCACCAUCUGAUAAGAAAGCACCAUGCUCUGACCUUCUCAUACUUUGAUUUGCUUAGGACAAAAGAGAUGUGUGGCUGCAAUCUAUUAAUUUCCCGUUGCUCAACGUUUUUUUUAGUAUAUUCUUUAGUCUUAUUUAAGUAUUUCCCAACCCAUGUCUCCUAUCCCCUAUAGUUUUACUUCCAUUCAUCUACGUAAUCAGAUAUGAAUAGAGAUCUAACAAACAUGAGAUGGAUUAAGAAUUUUAUUCAUGUAUGACUGAUUUAAACCUUAUUUGAGUGGUCCUUUAUGCCCUCAUCAGGAAACAUACCUCCCUAAAGAAGAAAUUGAGAAGUUGCAUUCUGGGUGUUUGAUAAAAUGCCUAAGUGAAGCUAUCAUUCAUGUUUUGCCCCUAUAUCCAAACUA